AUUGAACGCUGGCGGCAUGCCUUACACAUGCAAGUCGAACGGCAGCAUGAUCUAGCUUGCUAGAUUGAUGGCGAGUGGCGAACGGGUGAGUAAUACAUCAGAACGUGCCCUGUAGUGGGGGAUAACUAGUCGAAAGAUUAGCUAAUACCGCAUACGACCUGAGGGUGAAAGUGGGGGACCGCAAGGCCUCAUGCUAUAGGAGCGGCCGAUGUCUGAUUAGCUAGUUGGUGAGGUAAAGGCUCACCAAGGCGACGAUCAGUAGCUGGUCUGAGAGGACGAUCAGCCACACUGGGACUGAGACACGGCCCAGACUCCUACGGGAGGCAGCAGUGGGGAAUUUUGGACAAUGGGCGAAAGCCUGAUCCAGCAAUGCCGCGUGUGUGAAGAAGGCCUUCGGGUUGUAAAGCACUUUUGUCCGGGAAGAAAUGGCUCUGGUUAAUACCUGGGGUCGAUGACGGUACCGGAAGAAUAAGGACCGGCUAACUACGUG
RNAcentral lists this ribosomal RNA (490 nucleotides) under uncultured bacterium. RNAcentral describes it as "partial 16S ribosomal RNA". It matches the Rfam family "Bacterial small subunit ribosomal RNA", at positions 30 to 507 of the family's 1533-position model. The record is from RNAcentral.